GUGCACUACGGUGGCACAUAUACUAAAAUUGGAUCGAUACAGAGAAGAUUAGCAUGGCCCCUGCGCAAAGGCGCCAUGCUAAUCUUCUCUGUAUCGAUCCAAUUUU
Danio aesculapii is the source of this 106-nucleotide small nuclear RNA. The record is from RefSeq and is a predicted model, not a curated record. Lineage: Eukaryota; Metazoa; Chordata; Actinopteri; Cypriniformes; Danionidae.